Long non-coding RNA from Vespula vulgaris, 340 nucleotides. RefSeq lists it as uncharacterized. The transcript has 2 exons. NCBI's taxonomy places the organism in Eukaryota, Metazoa, Arthropoda, Insecta, Hymenoptera, Vespidae. The record is from RefSeq and is a predicted model, not a curated record.
UUUUAUUUAAACGUGUCAUUUAAUGCGUAUUAUGAUUUAUAUGCAUUAUUCAUACACAUAUCAAUGUAUGUGUAUUUAAAUGAAUAUAGAAUUUAUACCUCGUUGACAAAUUAAAUUUACAAUAUUGAAAUAAGGGUGUCACGAUCAGGUACACGCAUCACGUUCGAUCGUCGACGAUCUUUCUAUAUAUAAAAUAUAUCGAUACCAAACGAUAUUACAUUUGUUAAAAGGCAUAUACGUAUUACGUACAUACGCGUACACGUGCAUACAGAAAAAUUAAGAAAAAAAUAGCAAAACAGAGCGAGGAAGAGAGAGAGAGAGAGAGAGAGAGAUGAAAGUA